RNAcentral lists this long non-coding RNA (1215 nucleotides) under Marmota monax (woodchuck). Lineage: Eukaryota; Metazoa; Chordata; Mammalia; Rodentia; Sciuridae. The record is from RNAcentral.
CUCAGGAAAGAAAAGCAGCUGGAAGUCAUCUUCUGGGGACAGGCCAAGAAGGAGGCCCAGGCCCUGGGAAAUCUGCCUGCCUCCUGUUACACAAUCAAGCUGCCUCCCAGCUUGAUUCUCAGUCUGUGUCCAGGAUUGAGACCAUGUGUGGAAGCUCUCAACAGCAGGCGCUGCAGACAGCCCAACCCAGAGGAGAACCCCACUGGGAGAGGAGACCUGCUUUUAUGCUGCGAGGAGCCAGCUGCCAGCUCAGAAAUGUCCUUCCAAGUGUCAAUGUUGCAAAUCAGAAACAAAAAUCUGGGUAUGCAUGACUCUGGCCAAGGAGGACCCUGUGCCCAGCAAAUAUGUGGAUUUUUAGUACUAGAAGGAUAACAAGAUACUGGGCUUGAUAGAAGAAUUUUAGAACUUGGUACUUCUGCAGAAUUCUGGUCUCCAGAGGAGUUCAGCAGAGGGUAAGAGCCCUGGUGUAGGGAGAGGAAUCAGGAAAUGAGUUUGAUGGAAUGAAUGUGGGAUAGAAUGAGAAUCAUCUGUGGAGGGUCUUCAAGUCAUUCCAGGCUCAUUUUAAAUUUAGAGAAAAUUAAGUCAUUCUAUAAUUAUUCUUGGACUCUGCAUUAGGUCAGGAGGAGCAACUAUUUUUGGAAAAUAGAUUAUAUCAUAUCAUUUCCCUGCUUCAAAUCAUCAGAAGCUUCUGCUAGAAUAAGUCACAAACUCCCUACUGCAGCCUGCAGACCUUCCUGGCAGGCUCCUGCCUACAUUUCCCAUCUCACUUCCCUCCCAGUAGGCUCCGGUCAUGCUGGUCUUUAGGCCCCGCAAGCUCCAAACUCAGGCUCCCCUUUGCUUAGAAAAGUGAUGUUCAGGGUGAAUGAAUGAAGAAAAUGUGGUGCGUAUACAUGAUGGAAUACAAUUCACCCAUAAAAAGAAUGAAAUCCUGUUAUUUGCAACAACACGGAUGAACCUAGGAGGAAUCCUAUUAAGUGCAGUAAGUCAGACACAAAAGACAAGGGCCAUUUGACUUCACUCAUUUGUGGAAUCUAAAAAAUUCUGAUUGCAUAGAAAUACAGACUAGAACAGUGAUUACCAGACACUGGGGAAGGUAGCAGAGGAAGGUAUAUAGGAAGAGAAAUUGGUGAACAGGUUCAAAGUUAUAGUCAGACAGGAAAGAUAAGCUCUGGUGUUCUAUAGCACAGUAGGGCAAGUGUAGUUAACAAUAUUGUG